This 465-nucleotide ribosomal RNA is filed under the name Vreelandella stevensii. RNAcentral's name for it is "partial 16S ribosomal RNA". It matches the Rfam family "Bacterial small subunit ribosomal RNA", at positions 338 to 795 of the family's 1533-position model. Lineage: Bacteria; Pseudomonadati; Pseudomonadota; Gammaproteobacteria; Oceanospirillales; Halomonadaceae. The record is from RNAcentral.
CCUACGGGGGGCAGCAGUGGGGAAUAUUGGACAAUGGGGGGAACCCUGAUCCAGCCAUGCCGCGUGUGUGAAGAAGGCCCUCGGGUUGUAAAGCACUUUCAGUGAGGAAGAACGCCUGGUGGUUAAUACCCAUCAGGAAAGACAUCACUCACAGAAGAAGCACCGGCUAACUCCGUGCCAGCAGCCGCGGUAAUACGGAGGGUGCGAGCGUUAAUCGGAAUUACUGGGCGUAAAGCGCGCGUAGGUGGCUUGAUAAGCCGGUUGUGAAAGCCCCGGGCUCAACCUGGGAACGACAUCCGGAACUGUCAAGCUAGAGUGCAGGAGAGGAAGGUAGAAUUCCCGGUGUAGCGGUGAAAUGCGUAGAGAUCGGGAGGAAUACCAGUGGCGAAGGCGGCCUUCUGGACUGACACUGACACUGAGGUGCGAAAGCGUGGGUAGCAAACAGGAUUAGAUACCCUAGUAGUC